UCGCGUGAUCAUGGCAUUGAGGAAACACCCGUUCCCAUCCCGAACACGGCAGUUAAGCUCAAUAGCGGCGGAAGUACUUGGAGGGCAGCCUCCCGGCAGAUAUGCACGUUGCGCGGA
RNAcentral lists this ribosomal RNA (117 nucleotides) under Armatimonadota bacterium. The record is from RNAcentral. Lineage: Bacteria; Bacillati; Armatimonadota.